Molecule: unclassified non-coding RNA, 296 nt
Filed under: Hevea brasiliensis (rubber tree)
Lineage: Eukaryota; Viridiplantae; Streptophyta; Magnoliopsida; Malpighiales; Euphorbiaceae
Source: RNAcentral
CACCAUAUAGUUGGAGAGCCCAAUGAGCCUAAAUGAUUGGCCAAGAGGGGAGCGGACCCACACAAGAAAACCAAGGCGCUUUCCCCCGCACAAGGACGAUCGCCGGUUGAUGGUGUGGGCCUGGCUGCCGGUUAGAAGAGGUCACGCAAGCACUGAACGAAAAUCCGGCGGGGAAUUGCUGUAGGGCUAUCCUGGUACGAUGGAAAACGAUGAGUUAAUUUGGGGAGACAAACUCAUAUUGAGAGGGUUGAAGUUCCAUGGCUUCCAUGGGGUGAAACCAGAAGAAAAGACAUUGG